Molecule: ribosomal RNA, 786 nt
Filed under: uncultured Bacillota bacterium
Lineage: Bacteria; Bacillati; Bacillota
Description: bacterial SSU rRNA
Rfam family: Bacterial small subunit ribosomal RNA
Source: RNAcentral
AAAGUCCCGCAAGGGAUGAGUAGCGUGGCAAACGGGUGAGUAACGCGUGGGUGACCUGCCUUCGAGCGGGGGAUAACGUCCCGAAAGGGACGCUAAUACCGCAUGUCAUCCUGCCGUUGAACCGGUGGAGAUCAAAGCUGGGGAUCGCAAGACCUAGCACUCGAAGAGGGGCCCGCGUCCGAUUAGCUAGUUGGUGGGGUAACGGCCCACCAAGGCGACGAUCGGUAGCCGGCCUGGGAGGGCGGACGGCCACACUGGGACUGAGACACAGCCCAGACUCCUACGGGAGGCAGCAGUGGGGAAUUGUUCGCAAUGGGCGCAAGCCUGACGACGCAACGCCGCGUGGAGGAUGAAGAUCUUCGGGUCGUAAACUCCUUUCGAUCGAGACGAACGGCCCUGGGGUGAAUAACUCCGGGGAGUGACGGUACCGAGAGAAGAAGCCCCGGCUAACUCCGUGCCAGCAGCCGCGGUAAUACGGGGGGGGCAAGCGUUGUUCGGAAUUACUGGGCGUAAAGGGCUCGUAGGCGGCCAACUAAGCCAGACGUGAAAUCCCUCGGCUUAACCGAGGAACUGCGUCUGAUACUGGAUGGCUUGAAUUCGGGAGAGGGAUGCGGAAUUCCAGGUGUAGCGGUGAAAUGCGUAGAUAUCUGGAGGAACACCGGUGGCGAAGGCGGCAUCCUGGACCGACAUUGACGCUGAGGAGCGAAAGCCAGGGGAGCAAACGGGAUUAGAUACCCCGGUAGUCCUGGCCCUAAACGAUGAAUGCUUGGUGUGGCGGGUAUCGAU